RNAcentral lists this ribosomal RNA (497 nucleotides) under uncultured bacterium. Its description in RNAcentral is "partial 16S ribosomal RNA". It matches the Rfam family "Bacterial small subunit ribosomal RNA", at positions 28 to 507 of the family's 1533-position model. The record is from RNAcentral.
GAUGAACGCUGGCGGCGUGCCUAAUACAUGCAAGCCGAGCGAACGGACGAGAAGCUUGCUUAUCUGAUGUUAGCGGCGGACGGGUGAGUAACACGUGGAUAACCUACCUAUAAGACUGGGAUAACUUCGGGAAACCGUAGCUAAUACCGGAUAAUAUUUUGAACCGCAUGGUUCAAAAGUGAAAGACGGUCUUGCUGUCACUUAUAGAUGGAUCCGCGCUGCAUUAGCUAGUUGGUAAGGUAACGGCUUACCAAGGCAACGAUGCAUAGCCGACCUGAGAGGGUGAUCGGCCACACUGGAACUGAGACACGGUCCAGACUCCUACGGGAGGCAGCAGUAGGGAAUCUUCCGCAAUGGGCGAAAGCCUGACGGAGCAACGCCGCGUGAGUGAUGAAGGUCUUCGGAUCGUAAAACUCUGUUAUUAGGGAAGAACAUAUGUGUAAGUAACUGUGCACAUCUUGACGGUACCUAAUCAGAAAGCCACGGCUAACUACGUG